UACGGAAGGGGCUAGCGUUGUUCGGAAUUACUGGGCGUAAAGAGCGCGUAGGCGGCUUACCAAGUUGGGGGUGAAAUCCCGGAGCUCAACUCCGGAACUGCCUUCAAAACUGGUAGGCUUGAGUCCGGAAGAGGGGGGUGGAAUUCCCAGUGUAGAGGUGAAAUUCGUAGAUAUUGGGAAGAACACCGGUGGCGAAGGCAGCGCCCUGGUCCGGUACUGACGCUGAGGCGCGAAAGCGUGGGGAGCAAACAGG
This 253-nucleotide ribosomal RNA is filed under the name uncultured bacterium. Its description in RNAcentral is "partial 16S ribosomal RNA". It matches the Rfam family "Bacterial small subunit ribosomal RNA", at positions 524 to 776 of the family's 1533-position model. The record is from RNAcentral.